RNAcentral lists this ribosomal RNA (468 nucleotides) under uncultured bacterium. Its description in RNAcentral is "partial 16S ribosomal RNA". It matches the Rfam family "Bacterial small subunit ribosomal RNA", at positions 28 to 507 of the family's 1533-position model. The record is from RNAcentral.
GACGAACGCUGGCGGCGUGCUUAACACAUGCAAGUCGAACGGAAAGGCCCUGCGUUUGUGGGGUGCUCGAUUGGCGGACGGGGGAGUAACACGUGAGUAACCUGCCCUUGACUUUGGGAUAGCUUCAGGAAACUGGGGCUAAUACCGGAUAGCAGCUCCUGCUGCAUGGAGGGGGUUGGAACGUUUCGGCUGGUGGGGAUGGACGCGCGGCUUAUCAGCUUGUUGGUGGGGUAGUGGCUUACCAAGGCUUGGACGGGUAGCCGGCCUGAGAGGGUGACCGGCCACAUUGGGACUGAGAUACGGCCCAGACUCCUACGGGAGGCAGCAGUGGGGAAUAUUGCACAAUGGGAGCAAGCCUGUGGCAGCAGCGCCGCGUGCGGGAUGACGGCCUUCGGGUUGUAAACCGCAUUAGCCUGUGACGAAGCGUGAGUGACGGUAAUGGGUAAAGAAGCACCGGCUAACUACGUG